Molecule: ribosomal RNA, 407 nt
Filed under: uncultured bacterium
Lineage: Bacteria
Description: bacterial SSU rRNA
Rfam family: Bacterial small subunit ribosomal RNA
Source: RNAcentral
AGGGGAAUAUUGGGCAAUGGGGGAAACCCUGACCCAGCAACGCCGCGUGAAGGAAGAAGGCCUCCGGGUUGUAACCUUCUUGUACCAGGGACGAAGGACGUGACGGUACCUGGAGACAAAGCAACGGCUAACUCCGUGCCAGCAGCCGCGGUAAUACGUAGGUUGCGAGCGUUGUCCGGAUUUACUGGGUGUAAAGGGCGUGUAGGCGGAGAAGCAAGUUGGGAGUGAAAUCUAUGGGCUCAACCCAUAAACUGCUCUCAAAACUGUUUCCCUUGAGUAUCGGAGAGGCAAGCGGAAUUCCUAGUGUAGCGGUGAAAUGCGUAGAUAUUAGGAGGAACACCAGUGGCGAAGGCGGCUUGCUGGACGACAACUGACGCUGAGGCGCGAAAGCGUGGGGAGCAAACAGG